GGCUCAGGAUGAACGCUAGCGGCAGGCUUAAUACAUGCAAGUCGUACGGGAUCCGAGGUAGCAAUACUUUGGUGAGAGUGGCGCACGGGUGCGUAACACGUAUGCAACCUACCUUUAACCGGGACACAACCUCGAGAAAUUGAGGCUAAUAUCCCAUAACACUGCGAAGUGGCAUCACUUUGCAGUUAAAACUCCGGUGGUUAUUGAUGGGCAUGCGCGACAUUAGCUAGUUGGUGAGGUAACGGCCCACCAAGGCUACGAUGUCUAGGGGUUCUGAGAGGAUUAUCCCCCACACUGGUACUGAGACACGGACCAGACUCCUACGGGAGGCAGCAGUAAGGAAUAUUGGUCAAUGGGCGCAAGCCUGAACCAGCCAUGCCGCGUGAAGGAUGACGGCCCUAUGGGUUGUAAACUCCUUUUGUACGGGAAAAAACCACCGGUCGUGUAUCGGUGCUGAUGGUACCGUAAGAAUAAGCAUCGGCUAACUCCGUGCCAGCAGCCGCGGUAAUACGGAGGAUGCAAGCGUUAUCCGGAUUCAUUGGGUUUAAAGGGUGCGCAGGCGGAGUGAUAAGUCAGUGGUGAAAGCCUACAGCUUAACUGUAGAACUGCCAUUGAUACUGUCAUUCUUGAGUAUUGUUGAGGUAGGCGGAAUGUGUCAUGUAGCGGUGAAAUGCUUAGAUAUGACACAGAACACCGAUCGCGAAGGCAGCUUACCAAGCAAUAACUGACGCUCAUGCACGAAAGCGUGGGGAUCAAACAGGAUUAGAUACCCUGGUAGUCCACGCCGUAAACGAUGAUCACUCGAUGUUGGCGAUACACAGUCAGCGUCUUAGGGAAACUAUUAAGUGAUCCACCUGGGGAGUACGGUCGCAAGAUUGAA
This 880-nucleotide ribosomal RNA is filed under the name uncultured bacterium. RNAcentral describes it as "bacterial SSU rRNA". It matches the Rfam family "Bacterial small subunit ribosomal RNA", at positions 21 to 898 of the family's 1533-position model. The record is from RNAcentral.